AAAAUACACGAUUUUGUCGGGAGUUGGAUAAAGCUGAGGAAACAAAAAGAUGAUAGCAACUCAGAGUCUCUCCUCCUCCGUUCUACUGCCGUUGCUUUGCCUUACACCGCCGGUCCACCGCCGCGUCGCUCGUUCUCAACUUUCCGAUAUUGAGUUCUCGUCGAAACUUCCGUCAAUUACUUCCCUUUCUUCUCACAAAUUUUGCAAACGUACAAGGACUAGUACAGUUCGUGGAAUCAAUUCCAAUGACCCAAAAGAGUCGGCCUUCUUCAACGAAAACGGAGUGGUUGAAGAUAUGGAUAGCUAUCUCAAUUAUCUUUCCCUAGAGUAUGAUUCUGUAUGGGACACCAAACCCUCCUGGUGUCAACCUUGGACAAUAACUCUUACUGGAACAGUGAUAAUUAGCUUGAGCUGGCUGAUUCUGCACUCGGCUGUAGCCACUGCAGUAGUGACGACUACAAUUGCAGCAUGGUGGUACAUAUUUCUUUAUUCUUACCCUAAGGCAUAUUCAGAUAUGAUUGAGGAGAGAAGAAAGAGGGUGACAAACGGUCUAGAAGAUACAUAUGGAGAUAGGAAAAGGCAGUAACAGAAGGAGCAGGAACAACACUGCGUGCAUACCCCGAGGUGACGUAGAUUCAUAUCACAAUGUUUGCAUUUUAAAACUGCGAGUCUAAGGACCCAAUAGAGUGAUCAAUGUAGCUCAACUUUCUGCGCUUGCUGUAAAUGUCAAACCCCCAGAGAACUCUUCAUAUGAAUGAAAACAACACAUUCUAUUCAUAUAUUUUAACUUAUCUUACAUUAAUAAAUGCUUACCCUCAGUAUUCUGGAGGAAUGGCACCAUCUAGUUUCUCACAUAUAAAAAAAUAAAAUACAGUAGCCAGUUUUUUGUAACUUGAUAACGCAAUAUCUUCUGGCAUCAAUUUCCAGAUAACUGCACUAUUUCAUAAACACACAGGACUCAUUGCCAUAUUUUACACGCCAAAUUACACAAUGUAACUUAAUGCAAGCGAACAUCCUUGGGCAAAAACAUAGAAAGAAGAAUAAGGGUGCAACUGAAAGGAUGACUCUUUCUAUUACAUUCAACUCAAUCUACCAGAUAAAGGACCACUUUGCUGCCACAUUUGAGGAUAUUCUUUAGUCUUGGACCCAGACCCUCACUGUCCUGUCGUUAUCUAGUCCAGCUGAGAGAAUCAUGUUUUCUAUGGGGUGGCAACACACUGAAAUGACGGUAUCAGUAUGCCCUUCAAAUUUCUGCAGCAAGUUUUUCCCUUGCAAAUCCCAUACGUAGACACAUUGAUCUUCUGAGCCACUCACUAUAUACUUCCCAUUUGUGACUGAAAACGUGGAAGUUAUGCAGUACACUCUGUUCACAUGGCCUGCGUAGCUUUUUAUGAAUUUUCCAGUAGAAUAAUUCCAUAGCUUAAGAGUAUUAUCUAGGGUGGCAACAAGAAUAAACUUGCCAUUAGGUGAAAACUUGGCAAAGGAAACUGCAGGAACCUUAUCAUCAAUAAGAGUCUUGAGGCAAGCUCCGGAAGCCAUAUCCCAUAUCUUACAAGACCCAUCAUGACUACCCGAAACAAUCAAAGACCCAUCUUUGUUGAAAUGAACCGAAGUAACUGGCAUCGAAUGUGCCUUAAUCGCGUGGAUUGGCUUGCCCGUUUUCACAUCCCAGACCCGAAAAGUCUCAUCAAACGAACCUGAAACUAUGAGAUUGGACUGAGGAUUGAAA
Molecule: unclassified non-coding RNA, 1729 nt
Filed under: Hevea brasiliensis (rubber tree)
Lineage: Eukaryota; Viridiplantae; Streptophyta; Magnoliopsida; Malpighiales; Euphorbiaceae
Source: RNAcentral